RNAcentral lists this ribosomal RNA (442 nucleotides) under uncultured bacterium. RNAcentral describes it as "partial 16S ribosomal RNA". It matches the Rfam family "Bacterial small subunit ribosomal RNA", at positions 338 to 795 of the family's 1533-position model. The record is from RNAcentral.
CCUACGGGUGGCAGCAGUGGGGAAUAUUGCACAAUGGGGGGAACCCUGAUGCAGCAAUGCCGCGUGAAGGAUGAAGGUUUUCGGAUUGUAAACUUCUUUUGUACGGGACGAAGAAAGUGAUGGUACCGUAAGAAUAAUCCACGGCUAACUACGUGCCAGCAGCCGCGGUAAUACGUAGGUGGCAAGCGUUAUCCGGAUUUACUGGGUGUAAAGGGCGAGUAGGCGGAAUGCCAAGUCAGCGGUAAACUCGCGGGGCUCAACCUCGCUCCGCUGUUGAAACUGGCGUUCUUGAGUGGGCGAGAAGUAUGCGGAAUGCGUGGUGUAGCGGUGAAAUGCAUAGAUAUCACGCAGAACUCCGAUUGCGAAGGCAGCAUACCGGCGCCCAACUGACGCUGAAGCACGAAAGCGUGGGGAUCGAACAGGAUUAGAUACCCUUGUAGUC